UACGUAGGUGGCAAGCGUUAUCCGGAUUUACUGGGUGUAAAGGGCGUGUAGGCGGGAUGGUAAGUCAGAUGUGAAAACUAUGGGCUCAACCCAUAGCCUGCAUUUGAAACUAUCGUUCUUGAGUGUUGGAGAGGCAGGCGGAAUUCCGUGUGUAGCGGUGAAAUGCGUAGAUAUUAGGAGGAACACCAGUGGCGAAGGCGGCCUGCUGGGCUUUUACUGACGCUGAGGCUCGAAAGUGUGGGGAGCAAACAGG
Molecule: ribosomal RNA, 253 nt
Filed under: uncultured Oscillospira sp.
Lineage: Bacteria; Bacillati; Bacillota; Clostridia; Eubacteriales; Oscillospiraceae
Description: partial 16S ribosomal RNA
Rfam family: Bacterial small subunit ribosomal RNA
Source: RNAcentral